This 452-nucleotide ribosomal RNA is filed under the name uncultured bacterium. RNAcentral describes it as "bacterial SSU rRNA". It matches the Rfam family "Bacterial small subunit ribosomal RNA", at positions 340 to 786 of the family's 1533-position model. The record is from RNAcentral.
UACGGAAGGCAGCAGUGGGGAAUAUUGCACAAUGGGCGCAAGCCUGAUGCAGCCAUGCCGCGUGUAUGAAAAAGGCCUUCGGGUUGUAAAGUACUUUCAGUCGUGAGGAAGGUGUUAAGGUUAAUAACCUUAGCAAUUGACGUUAGCGACAGAAGAAGCACCGGCUAACUCCGUGCCAGCAGCCGCGGUAAUACGGAGGGUGCGAGCGUUAAUCGGAAUUACUGGGCGUAAAGGGCACGCAGGCGGUUAAUUAAGUUGGAUGUGAAAUCCCCGGGCUUAACCUGGGAAUGGCAUUCAAGCUGGUUAGCUAGAGUCUUGUAGAGGGGGUAGAAUUCCAUGUGUAGCGGUGAAAUGCGUAGAGAUGUGGAGGAAUACCGGUGGCGAAGGCGGCCCCUGGACAAAGACUGACGCUCAUGUGCGAAAGCGUGGGGAGCAAACAGGGAUUAGAUACC